This 114-nucleotide ribosomal RNA is filed under the name Fasciola hepatica (liver fluke). The record is from RNAcentral. Lineage: Eukaryota; Metazoa; Platyhelminthes; Trematoda; Plagiorchiida; Fasciolidae.
GCGAGCAUACCACGUUGGAAACACCGGUUCUGGUCUGAUCAUCAAGGUUGAGCAACGUUGGGCCCGGUGAGUACUUCCAUUGGUGACCAGUUGGGAAAACCGGGAGUUUCGGCC